AUGAACGCUGGCGGCGUGUCUAAGGCAUGCAAGUCGAAUGGGUUUAGACCCAUGGCAAACGGGUGAGUAACGCAUUGGUAACUUACCUCGAAGUUCGGCAUAACCUUCCGAAAGGAAGAAUAAUACCGGAUGUGGUCAUUAGACGAAAGUCUGGUGAGUAAAGAUUUAUCGCUUCGAGAGAGACCUAUGUCUUAUCAGCUAGUUGGUGGGGUAAAAGCCUACCAAGGCUAUGACGAGUAGCGGGUGUGAGAGCACGACCCGCCUCACUGGGACUGAGACACUGCCCAGACUCCUACGGGAGGCUGCAGUCAAGAAUAUUCCACAAUGGACGAAAGUCUGAUGGAGCGACGCCGCGUGAUUGAUGAAGCCCUUCGGGGUGUAAAGAUCUUUUAUUAGGGAAGAACUUUUGACGGUACCUAAUGAAUAAGGGGUUGCUAACUCUGU
RNAcentral lists this ribosomal RNA (444 nucleotides) under uncultured bacterium. RNAcentral's name for it is "bacterial SSU rRNA". It matches the Rfam family "Bacterial small subunit ribosomal RNA", at positions 29 to 506 of the family's 1533-position model. The record is from RNAcentral.